UACAGAGGUCUCGAGCGUUGUUCGGAUUCACUGGGCGUAAAGGGUGCGUAGGUGGCCUAAAAAGUUUGAUGUGAAAGCUCAGGGCUUAACCCUGAAAUGGCAUUGAAUACUGUUGGGCUGGAGGUUUGGAGGGGGGACUGGAAUUCUUGGUGUAGCAGUGAAAUGCGUAGAUAUCAAGAGGAACACCAGUGGCGAAGGCGAGUCCCUGGACAACACCUGACACUGAGGCACGAAAGCCGGGGGAGCAAACAGG
RNAcentral lists this ribosomal RNA (253 nucleotides) under uncultured bacterium. RNAcentral describes it as "partial 16S ribosomal RNA". It matches the Rfam family "Bacterial small subunit ribosomal RNA", at positions 524 to 776 of the family's 1533-position model. The record is from RNAcentral.